UAACACGUGGGUAACCUGCCUGUAAGACUGGGAUAACUCCGGGAAACCGGGGCUAAUACCGGAUGCUUGAUUGAACCGCAUGGUUCAAUUAUAAAAGGUGGCUUUUAGCUACCACUUACAGAUGGACCCGCGGCGCAUUAGCUAGUUGGUGAGGUAACGGCUCACCAAGGCAACGAUGCGUAGCCGACCUGAGAGGGUGAUCGGCCACACUGGGACUGAAACACGGCCCAAACUCCUACGGGAGGCAGCAGUAGGGAAUCUUCCGCAAUGGACGAAAGUCUGACGGAGCAACGCCGCGUGAGUGAUGAAGGUUUUCGGAUCGUAAAACUCUGUUGUUAGGGAAGAACAAGUACCGUUCGAAUAGGGCGGUACCUUGACGGUACCUAACCAGAAAGCCACGGCUAACUACGUGCCAGCAGCCGCGGUAAUACGUAGGUGGCAAGCGUUGUCCGGAAUUAUUGGGCGUAAAGCGCGCGCAGGCGGUUUCUUAAGUCUGAUGUGAAAGCCCCCGGCUCAACCGGGGAGGGUCAUUGGAAACUGGGGAACUUGAGUGCAGAAAAGGAGAGUGGAAUUCCACGUGUAGCGGUGAAAUGCGUAGAGAUGUGGAGGAACACCAGUGGCGAAGGCGACUCUCUGGUCUGUAACUGACGCUGAGGCGCGAAAGCGUGGGGAGCGAACAGGAUUAGAUACCCUGGUAGUCCACGCCGUAAACGAUGAGUGCUAAGUGUUAGAGGGUUUCCGCCCUUUAGUGCUGCAGCAAACGCAUUAAGCACUCCGCCUGGGGAGUACGGUCGCAAGACUGAAACUCAAAGGAAUUGACGGGGGCCCGCACAAGCGGUGGAGCAUGUGGUUUAAUUCGAAGCAACGCGAAGAACCUUACCAGGUCUUGACAUCCUCUGACAACCCUAGAGAUAGGGCUUCCCCUUCGGGGGCAGAGUGACAGGUGGUGCAUGGUUGUCGUCAGCUCGUGUCGUGAGAUGUUGGGUUAAGUCCCGCAACGAGCGCAACCCUUGAUCUUAGUUGCCAGCAUUCAGUUGGGCACUCUAAGGUGACUGCCGGUGACAAACCGGAGGAAGGUGGGGAUGACGUCAAAUCAUCAUGCCCCUUAUGACCUGGGCUACACACGUGCUACAAUGGGCAGAACAAAGGGCAGCGAAGCCGCGAGGCUAAGCCAAUCCCACAAAUCUGUUCUCAGUUCGGAUCGCAGUCUGCAACUCGACUGCGUGAAGCUGGAAUCGCUAGUAAUCGCGGAUCAGC
Molecule: ribosomal RNA, 1257 nt
Filed under: Bacillus sp. (in: firmicutes)
Lineage: Bacteria; Bacillati; Bacillota; Bacilli; Caryophanales; Bacillaceae
Description: bacterial SSU rRNA
Rfam family: Bacterial small subunit ribosomal RNA
Source: RNAcentral